AAACUUUCAACAACGGAUCUCUUGGCUCUGGCAUCGAUGAAGAACGCUGCGAAACGCGAUAAGUAAUGCGAAUUGCAGAAUUUAGUGAAUCAUCGAAUCUUUGAACGCACAUUGCGCCCGCCAGUAUUCUGGCGGGCAUGCCUGUCCGAGCGUCAUUA
Molecule: ribosomal RNA, 158 nt
Filed under: Fusarium solani
Lineage: Eukaryota; Fungi; Ascomycota; Sordariomycetes; Hypocreales; Nectriaceae
Description: 5.8S ribosomal RNA
Rfam family: 5.8S ribosomal RNA
About the family: 5.8S ribosomal RNA (5.8S rRNA) is a component of the large subunit of the eukaryotic ribosome. It is transcribed by RNA polymerase I as part of the 45S precursor that also contains 18S and 28S rRNA.
Source: RNAcentral